This 72-nucleotide transfer RNA is filed under the name Bavayia occidentalis. RNAcentral describes it as "tRNA-Asn". The record is from RNAcentral. Lineage: Eukaryota; Metazoa; Chordata; Lepidosauria; Squamata; Diplodactylidae.
UAGAUUAAGCCCGCUGGUUUGGGUUUUUAGUUGUUAACUAAAGAUUUACGGGAUCAAGGCCCGUCGGUCUAG